GAGAAUUUUCUCAACUUUCAUUGCUUGAUCAAACGAGAACAAGAGUUGCAUGAGAGUUGACAAGCGAGAGUUUACAUGAGAGUUUUCUCAACAUUCAUUGAUUGAUCAAACGAGAACAAGAGUUGCAUGAGAGUUGACAAGCGAGAGGUUACAUGAGAGUUUUCUCAACAUUCAUUGCUUUAUCAAACGAGAACGAGAGUUGCAUGAGAGUUGACAAGCGAGAGUUUACAUGAGAGUUUUCUCAACAUUCAUUGCUUGAUCAAACGAGAACAAGAGUUGCAUGAGAGUUGACAAGCGAGAGUUUACUUGAG
This is a non-coding RNA of Paramuricea clavata, 311 nucleotides long. The record is from the annotation of a GenBank genome assembly. NCBI's taxonomy places the organism in Eukaryota, Metazoa, Cnidaria, Anthozoa, Malacalcyonacea, Plexauridae.